GUGCCAAAAGCAGGAGAGCGCACGAAGGCGGGCGGCGGCGCGGAGAGUGGUGGUGGCGCGCGGCAUUGAGAAGCUCAUCCACAGCCGGCGGGGCUCGCGAUUUCCGGUCAAGGACGCCUCCCCCGCCUCGUCCUCCCCUGCCUCCGCACCCGGCGAGGACGGCCCAGCCACGAUGAGCAGUCGAAGAGGAGUGGAAGAUGUGUGUCAUCGGCCAGAGAAGGCGGGGACGAGCGGACGACAGUGAGGGAGGCGUCUUUGGUCGGGGCCACGACGAUGGCGAUGUCGACUCCCAUCGGCCUCCUUCGUCUCCCAGCCAUAGCUGGCUCCAACCCCUCCUCAUGUGGGUAUGAGGCCAGAUUUCGCGACUUGCACCUUUGGCAAGUUAUUGAAAUCAGAACCCCGUCAACUCUGAAGUGGCUGGUAUAUC
Molecule: long non-coding RNA, 427 nt
Organism: Lolium rigidum
Lineage: Eukaryota; Viridiplantae; Streptophyta; Magnoliopsida; Poales; Poaceae
Exons: 3
Source: RefSeq, a predicted model, not a curated record